This 1125-nucleotide long non-coding RNA is filed under the name Pan troglodytes (chimpanzee). RNAcentral describes it as "long non-coding RNA NONPTRT001780". The record is from RNAcentral. Lineage: Eukaryota; Metazoa; Chordata; Mammalia; Primates; Hominidae.
UUAGUUGUUCCUUGGAUGUUUGAGGGGGUAUGUUGAUUAAGGGAGAUGAGAUGAUGCAGGUAUGACCCCUGACAGGAUAGUGGCAAAGCAUAAUCACUAUAAGAGCCAACAGGCUUUACUGUUUUACAGGUGAAAAAUGAGGCCCACAGAUGAGAACACAGACUCACAUGGUCAAAUGCCUGUCCAAGGCCCAGGGUUAGCAAGUAGCAGAGCUGGGGCUCGAACCCAUGUUCUCUGACCCUCCAGCCAGUGGCAUUUCCCCUAACCCAUCUAUACUCUCCUCUAAAGUGGCAUCUCCAGAUUGGGUGUGUAUUAGUCUGCUAGGGCUGCCAUAACAUCAAGUACCAGACUGAAUGGCUUAAACAAUAGACAUUUAUUUUCUCACAGUUCUGGAGGUUAGAAGUCCAAGAUCAAGGUGGCAGGGUUGAUUUUUUGUUGUUGUUGUUGUUGUUGUUGUAGUUUUUCGGUUUUUGAGACCGAGUCUCGCUCUGUCGCCCAGGCUGGAGUGCAGUGGCACAAUCUUGGCUCACUGCAAGCUCCACCUCCUGGGUUCACGCCAUUCUCCUGCCUCAGCCUCCCGAAUAGCUGGGACUACAGGUGCCCGCCACUAUGCCUAGCUGCUUUUUUGUAUUUUUAGUAGAGACAGGGUUUCACCGUGUUAGCCAUGAUGGUCUCGAUCUCCUGGCCUCGUGAUCUGCCCGCCUCGGCCUCCCAAAGUGCUGGGAUUACAGGUGUGAGCCACCGCGCCCGGCCUGCAGGGUUGAUUUCUUCCGAGGCUUGUCUCUGGCUUGUAGACGCUGCCUUCUCCCUGCGUGUUCACACAGUCUUCCCUCUGUGCGUGUCUGUGUCAUAAUCUCUUCUCCUUAUAAGGACACCAGUCAUAUUGGAUUAGGGCCACCUUAGUGACCUCAUUUUAACUUUAAUUAGUUCUUUAAGGGCCCUGUCUCCAAAUAUAGUCACAUUUCGAGGUACUGGGGGUUAGGAUUUCAAUAGAGAAAAUUUGGGGAAACACAGUUCAGCCGCUAACAGGGCCCUUUCUGUGCUGUAACCUGGGGCAAGCCUCCCCCACAGCAGGUACCACAGCCCCAGAUGACUCUUUGCUUUAGAAAAUCAAGUGACCUCAGU